GUGUCAGCAGCCGCGGUAAGACAGAGGGUGCAAACGUUGCUCGGAAUCACUGGGCGUAAAGGGCGUGUAGGCGGGAAUGUAAGUCGGGCGUGAAAUCCCUAGGCUCAACCUAGGAACUGCACUCGAAACUGCGUUUCUUGAGUAUCGGAGAGGAAAGCGGAAUACCUGGUGUAGAGGUGAAAUUCGUAGAUAUCAGGUGGAACACCAGUGGCGAAGGCGGCUUUCUGGACGAUAACUGACGCUGAGACGCGAAAGCGUGGGGAGCAAACAGGAUUAGAAACCCCCGUAGUCC
RNAcentral lists this ribosomal RNA (292 nucleotides) under uncultured bacterium. RNAcentral's name for it is "partial 16S ribosomal RNA". It matches the Rfam family "Bacterial small subunit ribosomal RNA", at positions 505 to 796 of the family's 1533-position model. The record is from RNAcentral.